Molecule: long non-coding RNA, 623 nt
Organism: Salvia miltiorrhiza (redroot sage)
Lineage: Eukaryota; Viridiplantae; Streptophyta; Magnoliopsida; Lamiales; Lamiaceae
Exons: 3
Source: RefSeq, a predicted model, not a curated record
CACGUAUCAUUUGUAUCAUUUCAAAUCGCAGUUUUAACCACCACGUAUCAUUCCAAAACCUAUCUCAUUUAAAUUCAUCCAUCAGCUAUAAUCAAUUUCAUUUUUCAGCAAUUUCUAACUCGUCUUCGUUCUGCAGAGGUGCAACGCGACUAGGACAUGGAUUUUAAUUUGAAUUAUCAGAAUUAGCUUUCAAGUUGAACUUCAAAUUCAGGGGCCCGUUGAAUGGGUCCAGGAUGGAAAGAUCCUUGGUAUGCCACAAUGCGAUAUUAUGUUAAAGUUAUGGUUGCAACCAGUCGCCAGGGGCCGGCUAAAUCGGUCCAGGACGGAAAGGUCCUUGGUAUGCCACCGUGCGACUUUCAGUUACAAAUGUAUUGAUCAUAUGUGAUUCUCAUUUUAUUAACGUGGACAAUGAUUGCAUGUCCCACACUGAGUGUACCUUGUAUGCUCAUCCCAUACUUAACAUUUUUAGGUUUUAAAGGCCGGAGGCGCGUGGAAGGUCGAAUGGCGAAUCAAAUAUUUUGAAUUUAGUUUUACUUAAAAAUGUUAUGUUUAGUAAAGUAUAAGAUAUUUAUUUCUCUAUUUUCACAUUAAAUAUUUAUUUAUAGUCAUGAUUUUUCCGCGUG